RNAcentral lists this ribosomal RNA (402 nucleotides) under uncultured bacterium. RNAcentral's name for it is "bacterial SSU rRNA". It matches the Rfam family "Bacterial small subunit ribosomal RNA", at positions 355 to 753 of the family's 1533-position model. The record is from RNAcentral.
UAAGGAAUAUUGCGCAAUGGACGACAGUCUGACGCAGCGACGCCGCGUGGGGGAUGAAGGUCUUCGGAUUGUAAACCCCCUUUCGGGUGGAAAGAUGGCUCUCGACAACGAGAGCGGACGGUACCACCAGAAGCAGCCACGGCCAACUUCGUGCCAGCAGCCGCGGUAAUACGAAGGUGGCAAGCGUUGUUCGGAUUCACUGGGCGUACAGGGUGUGUAGGCGGUUCGGUAAGCCCUCUGGGAAAGCUCCUGGCUCAACCGGGAAAGUUCAGGGGGGACUGCCGGGCUAGAGGACGGGAGAGGAGCGCGGAAUUCCCGGUGUAGCGGUGAAAUGCGUAGAUAGUCGGGAGGAAGGCCGGUGGGCGAAGGCGGCGCUCUGGGAACGUAUCUGACGCUGAGACA